UAAUACAUGCAAGUCGAGCGAAUCGACGGGAGCUUGCUCCCUGAGAUUAGCGGCGGACGGGUGAGUAACACGUGGGCAACCUGCCUAUAAGACUGGGAUAACUUCGGGAAACCGGAGCUAAUACCGGAUACGUUCUUUUCUCGCAUGAGAGAAGAUGGAAAGACGGUUUACGCUGUCACUUAUAGAUGGGCCCGCGGCGCAUUAGCUAGUUGGUGAGGUAAUGGCUCACCAAGGCGACGAUGCGUAGCCGACCUGAGAGGGUGAUCGGCCACACUGGGACUGAGACACGGCCCCAGACCUCCUACGGGAGGGCAGCAGUAGGGGAAUCUUCCGCAAUGGACGAAAGUCUGACGGAGCAACGCCGCGUGAACGAAGAAGGCCUUCGGGUCGUAAAGUUCUGUUGUUAGGGGAAGAACAAGUACCAGAGUAACUGCUGGUACCUUGACGGUACCUAACCAGAAAGCCACGGCUAACUACGUGCCAGCAGCCGCGGUAAUACGUAGGUGGCAAGCGUUGUCCGGAAUUAUUGGGCGUAAAGCGCGCGCAGGUGGUUCCUUAAGUCUGAUGUGAAAGCCCACGGCUCAACCGUGGAGGGUCAUUGGAAACUGGGGAACUUGAGUGCAGAAGAGGAAAGUGGAAUUCCAAGUGUAGCGGUGAAAUGCGUAGAGAUUUGGAGGAACACCAGUGGCGAAGGCGACUUUCUGGUCUGUAACUGACACUGAGGCGCGAAAGCGUGGGGAGCAAACAGGAUUAGAUACCCUGGUAGUCCACGCCGUAAACGAUGAGUGCUAAGUGUUAGAGGGUUUCCGCCCUUUAGUGCUGCAGCUAACGCAUUAAGCACUCCGCCUGGGGAGUACGGCCGCAAGGCUGAAACUCAAAGGAAUUGACGGGGGCCCGCACAAGCGGUGGAGCAUCGUGGUUUAAUUCGAAGCAACGCGAAGAACCUUACCAGGUCUUGACAUCCUCUGACAACCCUAGAGAUAGGGCUUUCCCCUUCGGGGGACAGAGUGACAGGUGGUGCAUGGUUGUCGUCAGCUCGUGUCGUGAGAUGUUGGGUUAAGUCCCGCAACGAGCGCAACCCUUGAUCUUAGUUGCCAGCAUUCAGUUGGGCACUCUAACGUGACUGCCGGUGACAAACCGGAGGAAAGGUGGGGAUGACGUCAAAUCAUCAUGCCCCCUUAUGACCCUGGGCUACACACGUGCUACAAUGGG
RNAcentral lists this ribosomal RNA (1212 nucleotides) under Peribacillus muralis. RNAcentral describes it as "bacterial SSU rRNA". It matches the Rfam family "Bacterial small subunit ribosomal RNA", at positions 49 to 1234 of the family's 1533-position model. Lineage: Bacteria; Bacillati; Bacillota; Bacilli; Caryophanales; Bacillaceae. The record is from RNAcentral.